UGCUGCUUUCUUCAUCUGAUCUUGUUCCACCUAUUAUCUCCUCCAUUUUCUCACAUCCUCUAACUGUAAUCUCUUCUAGGUUUACGAGGCUAAUCCAAGAAGAUGGAAUCAAGCUCUCCAUGUUGUCGCAAUUCCAUACUUCAAUUUGUUGGAGAGAAUCGCACAUCAGUUUUGCAUUACAAAUGCUUUUCAGUUUUGGUAACAACCUCAAUUCCAGUUUUCUUAACUUUGGGAGUUUGAAAUCGGUACUACUGCUGCUGCUUUCUUCAUCUGAUCUUGUUCCACCUAUUAUCUCCUCCAUUUUCUCACAUCCUCUAACUGAAAUCUCUUGUAGCGUUAAGAGGCAAAUCCAGGAAGGUGGAACCAAGCUCUCCAUGCUGUCGCAAUUCCAUACUUCAAUUUGUUGAAGAGAAUCGCACAUUAGUUUUGCACUACAAAUGCUUUUCAGUUCCGGUAAAUCUUUCAAUUCCAGUUUUCUUAACUUUGGAAGUUUGAAUUCAGUGGUGCUGCUGCUGCUUUCUUCAUCUGAUCUUGCUCCACCUAUUAUCUCCUCAAUUUUCUCACAUCUUCUAACUAAAAUCUCUUGUAGCUCUACGAGGCAUUUCCAAGAAGAUGGAACCAAGCUCUCCAUGCUAUCGCAAUUCCAUACUUCAAUUUGUUGGAGUGAAUCGCACAUCAAUUUUGCACUACAAAUGCUUUUCAGUUCCGGUAAAUCUUUCAAUUCUAGUUUUCUUAACUUUGGGAGUUUGAAUUCGGUACUGCUGCUGCUGCUUUCUUCAUCUGAUCUUGUUCCACCUAUUAUCUCCUUCAUUUUCUCACAUCCUCUAACUGAAAUCUCUACUAUGUUUACGAGGCAAAUCCAAGAAGAUGGAACCAAGCUCUCCAUGCUGUCGCAAUUCCAUACUUCAAUUUGUUUGAGAGAAUCGCACAUCAGUUUUGCACUACAAAUGCUUUUCAGUUUUGGUAACAACCUCAAUUCCAGUUUUCUUAACUUUGGGAGUUUGAAUUCGAUGCUGCUGCUGCUUUCUUCAUCUGAUCUUGUCCCACCUAUUAUCUCCUCCAUUUUCUCACAUCCUCUAACUGAAAUCUCUUCUAGGUUUACGAGGCAAAUCCAAGAAGAUGGAACCAAGCUCUCCAUGUUGUCGCAAUUCCAUACUUCAAUUUGUUUGAGAGAAUCACACAUCAGUUUUGCACUACAAAUGCUUUUCAGUUCUGGUAAAUCUUUCAAUUUCAGUUUUCUUAACUUUGGGAGUUUGAAUUCGGUACUACUGCUGCUGCUUUCUUCAUCUGAUCUUGUCCCACCUAUUAUGUCCUCCAUUUUCUCACAUCCUCUAACUGAAAUCUCUUCUAUGUUUACGAGGCAAAUCCAAGAAGAUGGAACCAAGCUCUCCAUGCUGUCGCAAUUCCAUACUUCAAUUUGUUUGAGAGAAUCGCACAUCAAUUUUGCACUACAAAUGCUUUUCAGUUUCGGUAAAUCUUUCAAUUCCAGUUUUCUUAACUUUGGGAGUUUGAAUUCGGUACUACUGCUGCUGCUUUCUUCAUCUGAUCUUGUUCCACCUAUUAUCUCCUCCAUUUUCUCACAUCCUAUAACUGUAAUCUCUUCUAGGUUUAUGAGGCAAAUCCAAGAAGAUGGAACCAAGCUCUCCAUGUUGUCGCAAUUCCAUACUUUAAUUUGUUUGAGAGAAUCGCACAUCAGUUUUGCACUACAAAUGCUUUUCAGUUCCGGUAAAUCUUUUAAUUCCAGUUUUCUUAACUUUGGGAGUUUGAAUUCGGUACUGCUGCUGCUGCUUUCUUCAUCUGAUCUUGUUCCACCUAUUAUCUCCUCCAUUUUCUCACAUCCUAUAACUGUAAUCUCUUCUAGGUUUAUGAGGUUUGGCAGCAAGACAAAAGGGCACAACUUCUUCAUACUACUACAUCCAGAGCAAAAGAGCUUUUGAAGACAAGAAAAUACACCAUUAUAAGAUGGCAAUGGUGUUGGAGAAGGGCAAAACCAAAAAGAUGAAACCAAGCUCUCCAUGCUAUUGCAAUCCUUAAUGCGGAUAACCUCCAGUUCAAUUGAAUGCUCUAUCAGAGAGGAAACAUCACAUGAACAUUUAUAAAUAUACAGUUGUUGAAUGUCAUUUGGG
Molecule: long non-coding RNA, 2126 nt
Filed under: Populus tremula
Lineage: Eukaryota; Viridiplantae; Streptophyta; Magnoliopsida; Malpighiales; Salicaceae
Description: long non-coding RNA (PTRE_LNC001725)
Source: RNAcentral